Long non-coding RNA from Hyaena hyaena (striped hyena), 1765 nucleotides. RefSeq lists it as uncharacterized. Lineage: Eukaryota; Metazoa; Chordata; Mammalia; Carnivora; Hyaenidae. The record is from RefSeq and is a predicted model, not a curated record. The transcript is spliced from 3 exons.
AUGGGUGUGAGCGAAGAGAGUGAACAAGAUCUCUCCCUUCAGCAAGCCAGAGCCUCCUAAGAGCCCCCGGGGAACAACCUUGGGGGCUCUGUCAGCCAGUCCCUUUAUCUUCAGCAUCGACUCUGUCCGAGACAGUGUUUUGGCGCUAAACUAAACAAAUAACCCGCUCUCAGGAGGUUUUCUGGUGUAGGUGUUGGGUGACACGGGAGACUCCCUAGCGAAUCCAUGCAAUAAUUUCUCAAGGGCUAGAGAGUGAUGGAAGAAGGAGAAGACUUUCCACGGGGGAUCAGGAAAGCCCCUUUAGAGGUGGCAUUUGAGCUGAAAGUCGGAGGCAGAGAAGAAGGAAGCAUGGUGAAGACCGUGGGAACAAGGAAUCCGGGCUCAAGGAAAAGCCAGUGCAGAGAUCCAGAGGCAGGAGCCAGCUCAAUGUUUCAACGUGAGCUGCUGGGGAAAGAGGGCACAGAGCAAGGGAAAUGGAACCCAAGGCCAAUGUCAGGUGUGGUGGUGUAGGCUGUGAUAAGGAAUUUGGGCUUUUUCUGGUUGCAGUGGGAAGCUAGUGGAAGACUUUGAGCUUGGGAAUGCCCCUGAUCUGACUUAUGUUUUAAUAGUUUGGAUGAAGAAUGGGCAGGAGAUAGGUAAGAGUGGAGGCAGGGAGACAAAUUAGGUGGCUUUUGCAGUAAUCCAGGCAGCAUCAACCAGAGAUGGUGGUGGCUUAAAUUCAUGUGUAGCAGUGCACUGGUGAGAAGUCAGACUCAGGAUUUCUUUUGGAGGUGGGACCAGGUGGAGUGAAGAGAAUAACCGAGGAUGCUCCCUAAACUUUCGUUCUGAACAGCUGAAUGGCUGAUGGUGCCAUUUCUGUGAUGAUGAACAUUUGGAGAAAAUGCCUGUCAGACAUCCAAGUGGACACGUGUACAAACAAUUGGAAUUACAAAUUUAGAGCUGGAAAUACAAAUGAAGGAAACAUCAGCAUAUGAAUGGUAUUGAAAACCAUGGACCCAACACUCAGGGCAAGAGAUCCAGAUUAGAGCCCUGUUCCACUCCUGGAUGCAGAGAUUUGAUACAUGUGGGGAAUAAACCUGUGAAGGAGGAAGGAAACCAGGCUAGAGUCUGGGGUUACUGAACACAGGGAAAGUGCUGCCACCAUGUCAGUUGCUCCUGUGGGGCUGAGAAUAUGGCAGACUGAGCAUGAAGAUGGGCUUUGGCAAGACAUAGUCAUGGAUGACCUUCAAAAGAACUGGUUCAGAGAAGUGAUGGAGUCCAGGACCCAUAUGGCAAGGGUUGAAAGGAAUGAGUACCUAGCACUCUGCCUGACACAAGCUCAGUAAAUGUGUGCUGAAUAAGUGAAUCCUUGAAAUGUUAAACUGGCAUCACAACAAGGAAAUAAACCAAAAAAAGGAAGACACAGAAUCUAGGAAACAAGAAUUCAAACCCAAGAGAUGGUUUUUAGGGUGCAGUCCAAUCCAAUAGGACUGGUGUCCUUAUAAAAAGAUAUGAUUAGGACACAAACAAAAUGAAGGCAUAACCUUGUGAGGACCCAGAAGAUGGUCAUCUGCAGUCCAAGGAGAAGGCCUUAGAAGAAACCAAAUCUGACAACAUCUUGGCCUUGGGCUUCCAGCUUCCUGAACUACAAGCACCAUUUGAGAUAUUUACUAAUUCUGAACAGAAAUUUUGGUAACUAUUCAGCAAAUCUUAAUGAGAAUUGUGAAGAAGAGAAAUAAUUUUGCUGAAGAGGCAAAACAAAUUAGUAAAGUGUCAGAUCCAUUUC